GGGUUGUGAGGUUAAGCGACUAAGCGUACACGGUGGAUGCCCUGGCAGUCAGAGGCGAUGAAGGACGUGCUAAUCUGCGAAAAGCGCCGGCGAGGUGAUAUGAACCUUUGACCCGGCGAUGUCCGAAUGGGGAAACCCAGUGUGAUUCGUCACACUAUCGUUAACUGAAUACAUAGGUUAACGAGGCGAACCGGGGGAACUGAAACAUCUAAGUACCCCGAGGAAAAGAAAUCAACCGAGAUUCCCCCAGUAGCGGCGAGCGAACGGGGAGCAGCCCAGAGUCUGAAUCAGCUUGUGUGUUAGUGGAAGCGUCUGGAAAGUCGCACGGUACAGGGUGACAGUCCCGUACACGAAAGCACACAGGCUGUGAACUCGAAGAGUAGGGCGGGACACGUGGUAUCCUGUCUGAAUAUGGGGGGACCAUCCUCCAAGGCUAAAUACUCCUGACUGACCGAUAGUGAACCAGUACCGUGAGGGAAAGGCGAAAAGAACCCCGGCGAGGGGAGUGAAAAAGAACCUGAAACCGUGUACGUACAAGCAGUGGGAGCCUCUUUUAUGGGGUGACUGCGUACCUUUUGUAUAAUGGGUCAGCGACUUAUAUUCUGUAGCAAGGUUAACCGUAUAGGGGAGCCGAAGGGAAACCGAGUCUUAACUGGGCGUUAAGUUGCAGGGUAUAGACCCGAAACCCGGUGAUCUAGCCAUGGGCAGGUUGAAGGUUGGGUAACACUAACUGGAGGACCGAACCGACUAAUGUUGAAAAAUUAGCGGAUGACUUGUGGCUGGGGGUGAAAGGCCAAUCAAACCGGGAGAUAGCUGGUUCUCCCCGAAAGCUAUUUAGGUAGCGCCUCGUGAACUCAUCUUCGGGGGUAGAGCACUGUUUCGGCUAGGGGGCCAUCCCGGCUUACCAACCCGAUGCAAACUACGAAUACCGAAGAAUGUUAUCACGGGAGACACACGGCGGGUGCUAACGUCCGUCGUGAAGAGGGAAACAACCCAGACCGCCAGCUAAGGUCCCAAAGUCAUGGUUAAGUGGGAAACGAUGUGGGAAGGCACAGACAGCCAGGAUGUUGGCUUAGAAGCAGCCAUCAUUUAAAGAAAGCGUAAUAGCUCACUGGUCGAGUCGGCCUGCGCGGAAGAUGUAACGGGGCUAAACCAUGCACCGAAGCUGCGGCAGCGACGCUUAUGCGUUGUUGGGUAGGGGAGCGUUCUGUAAGCCGUUGAAGGUGUCCUGUGAGGGGUGCUGGAGGUAUCAGAAGUGCGAAUGCUGACAUAAGUAACGAUAAAGCGGGUGAAAAGCCCGCUCGCCGGAAGACCAAGGGUUCCUGUCCAACGUUAAUCGGGGCAGGGUGAGUCGACCCCUAAGGCGAGGCCGAAAGGCGUAGUCGAUGGGAAACAGGUUAAUAUUCCUGUACUUGGUGUUACUGCGAAGGGGGGACGGAGAAGGCUAUGUUAGCCGGGCGACGGUUGUCCCGGUUUAAGCAUGUAGGCGGAGGUUCCAGGUAAAUCCGGUUCCUUGUUAACGCUGAGGUGUGAUGACGAGGCACUACGGUGCUGAAGUAACAAAUGCCCUGCUUCCAGGAAAAGCCUCUAAGCAUCAGGUAACAUCAAAUCGUACCCCAAACCGACACAGGUGGUCAGGUAGAGAAUACCAAGGCGCUUGAGAGAACUCGGGUGAAGGAACUAGGCAAAAUGGUGCCGUAACUUCGGGAGAAGGCACGCUGAUAUGUAGGUGAAGCCCCUGCGGGUGGAGCUGAAAUCAGUCGAAGAUACCAGCUGGCUGCAACUGUUUAUUAAAAACACAGCACUGUGCAAACACGAAAGUGGACGUAUACGGUGUGACGCCUGCCCGGUGCCGGAAGGUUAAUUGAUGGGGUUAGCGGUAACGCGAAGCUCUUGAUCGAAGCCCCGGUAAACGGCGGCCGUAACUAUAACGGUCCUAAGGUAGCGAAAUUCCUUGUCGGGUAAGUUCCGACCUGCACGAAUGGCGUAAUGAUGGCCAGGCUGUCUCCACCCGAGACUCAGUGAAAUUGAACUCGCUGUGAAGAUGCAGUGUACCCGCGGCAAGACGGAAAGACCCCGUGAACCUUUACUAUAGCUUGACACUGAACACUGGUCCUUGAUGUGUAGGAUAGGUGGGAGGCUUUGAAGCGUGGACGCCAGUCUGCGUGGAGCCAACCUUGAAAUACCACCCUUUAAUGGCUGGUGUUCUAACGUAGACCCGUGAUCCGGGUUGCGGACAGUGUCUGGUGGGUAGUUUGACUGGGGCGGUCUCCUCCCAAAGAGUAACGGAGGAGCACGAAGGUUAGCUAAUCCUGGUCGGACAUCAGGAGGUUAGUGCAAUGGCAUAAGCUAGCUUGACUGCGAGAGUGACGGCUCGAGCAGGUGCGAAAGCAGGUCAUAGUGAUCCGGUGGUUCUGAAUGGAAGGGCCAUCGCUCAACGGAUAAAAGGUACUCCGGGGAUAACAGGCUGAUACCGCCCAAGAGUUCAUAUCGACGGCGGUGUUUGGCACCUCGAUGUCGGCUCAUCACAUCCUGGGGCUGAAGUAGGUCCCAAGGGUAUGGCUGUUCGCCAUUUAAAGUGGUACGCGAGCUGGGUUUAGAACGUCGUGAGACAGUUCGGUCCCUAUCUGCCGUGGGCGCUGGAGAAUUGAGGGGGGCUGCUCCUAGUACGAGAGGACCGGAGUGGACGCAUCACUGGUGUUCGGGUUGUCAUGCCAAUGGCACUGCCCGGUAGCUAAAUGCGGAAGAGAUAAGUGCUGAAAGCAUCUAAGCACGAAACUUGCCCCGAGAUGAGUUCUCCCUGAGACUUUAAGUCUCCUGAAGGAACGUUGAAGACUACGACGUUGAUAGGUCGGGUGUGUAAGCGCAGCGAUGCGUUGAGCUAACCGAUACUAAUGAACCGUGAGGCUUAACCUUACAACGCCGAAG
Molecule: ribosomal RNA, 2928 nt
Filed under: Enterobacter sp. RHBSTW-00974
Lineage: Bacteria; Pseudomonadati; Pseudomonadota; Gammaproteobacteria; Enterobacterales; Enterobacteriaceae
Description: 23S ribosomal RNA
Rfam family: Bacterial large subunit ribosomal RNA
Source: RNAcentral